Eptesicus fuscus (big brown bat) is the source of this 188-nucleotide small nuclear RNA. RefSeq annotates it as U2 spliceosomal RNA. Lineage: Eukaryota; Metazoa; Chordata; Mammalia; Chiroptera; Vespertilionidae. The transcript has a single exon. The record is from RefSeq and is a predicted model, not a curated record.
ACCACUUCUCAGCCUUUUGGCUAAGAUUGAGUGUAGUAUCUGUUAUUAGUUUAAUAUCUGAUACGUCCUCUAUCCGAGGAAAAUAUUUUACAUGGAUUUUUGGAACUAGGAGAUGGAAUAGAAGCUUGCUCCCUCCAUUCCACACAUCUACCUGGUAUUACAGUACUUCCAUGAUCGGUGCACCAAAA